AAGCUCGUAGUUGAAUUUCGGGAUUAGUACGUCGGUCGUGCCUUAGGUACGUACUGGUGUUACUGGUUCCUACCUUCUGACGAACCAUCAUGUCAUUAAUUUGGUGUGGUGGGGAAUCAGGACUGUUACUUUGAAAAAAUUAGAGUGUUUAAAGCAGGCUCGCGCUUGAAUACAUUAGCAUGGAAUAAUGAAAUAGGACGUUGAUCCUAUUUUGUUGGUUUCUAGGAUUGACGUAAUGAUUAAUAGAGAUAGUUGGG
RNAcentral lists this ribosomal RNA (257 nucleotides) under uncultured Glomus. Its description in RNAcentral is "partial 18S ribosomal RNA". It matches the Rfam family "Eukaryotic small subunit ribosomal RNA", at positions 624 to 886 of the family's 1831-position model. Lineage: Eukaryota; Fungi; Glomeromycota; Glomeromycetes; Glomerales; Glomeraceae. The record is from RNAcentral.